Molecule: long non-coding RNA, 1353 nt
Organism: Haemorhous mexicanus (house finch)
Lineage: Eukaryota; Metazoa; Chordata; Aves; Passeriformes; Fringillidae
Exons: 2
Source: RefSeq, a predicted model, not a curated record
UUCACACUUUACUGUAAUUGGAAGGGGUCAAGGUUUUCAGUUGCUAAAGAGUAGUUGGGCAGUAUUUUAGACAGGAAGGGAGUUUGCAUCAUGUGCUGUUGCCAGACUGCAUUACACAGAGCUGUAGCCAUUACUGCCAGGUACACACUGGUAUCACCUCCAGAAGCAGGAGCCCUGCCUUCCUUCAGCCCCUCCCCAGCACACGUCACCCUCUCCCUGUGCCCACAGGAUGAACUCUGCAGAUCCAUUCUGAAACAGUUCUGGGAACUUAGCCAAGUCAAUACUAUGCCAGAUGCCAUCAUCCACUGCAAGAGUCAUUAUUCACCAAUUCUAUCCAGCAUUUUUGAUCACUGGAUGCAAAUGUGGUAAAAGAAAACUAGUCUACCUCCUUUGUGUCACUUUCUCAGAAUCCUAAUUAGGAAGUGUUAUUCUACUGUCACUGGAAACCAGUAUUAACCAUGCACUAUUUCCUCAUACAAAACACAAACAGAAGAUGAAUCAUUUCUUUUCCUUCUCUCAAGCUCAAUUUAUUCUCCUAUUCUUCAUGCCUCUUACUAAGUCAUUUGAAAAAAAUUGCUUAUACUUCCAAAAAAAAAGUGCAGUUCCUCCAGUCUAUAUAUAUGCAUCUGCAAAGUACUCACAAUAGGUAAGCAAUGUAGUGGAAGCUUUUGUUUUAUAUAUGUUUUAUAUAUAUUUAUAUUUAUAUUUAUUUAUAUUUAUAUAAAAUCUUGUUAUUAUAAUUCCAAAUUUGGAAAAAACCUCCCCACAAACAAACAAAGAAGAAAUGUCCUGGCCUCCCCAAACAACACAAAACAGAAAAUAGCCCCACCCCAUUACCUUCUAUGCAAAAUGCCUGGUAAAACUUCCACUUCCUCUGACAAAAUGAGCCCAUCUAAGUGUCUUUAUGUAAAUUGGGCUGCAUGGUUGAGAGCUGCAAGGGUUGAAUUCCCCAUUUUCACAGAAGUGUCGACCCAGUGCACCAAAAGGACUGAACUUUCUCAUGUUUGUCAAUGGACCACAAAGUAGCUUGACUGAAGAGGUGAUGGAAGGAUUCUGGGGAGUGGUCUGAGUCUGUUUUAUCUAUCAUAUGCCUAAGACAUUUAUUUUCUCACACCACUUCAAAACUCAAUCUGAAUCAAUGAAACCUGUACCAUUUCCUAACCCUCUUCACUUGUGCAGUAUGUGUAGGAGGUAUUCAGCUGUGUAAGAAAAUCUCAUUCUCUGGUCUACUCUUCUACUGUUUCCCAGACAAGACUGUGACAUCCACUUUCUAAAGCUGCACUGUCUCUCUGGAGUGGGCUCACAUCAACUGUGAUAAAAAUGUCUAGCAUUAAAUUAUUCUUAAAUUUUUCA